AUUGAACGCUGGCGGCAGGCCUAACACAUGCAAGUCGAGCGAUCGGCGGACGCGUGAGUAAUGUAUGGGGACUGCCCGAUAGAGGGGGAUAACUACUGGAAACGGUAGCUAAUACCGCAUACUAUCGAUUAACCCAUAUGGGAUUAGCUAUUAGGUGGGGUAAUGGCUCACCUAGGCGACGAGCCCUAGCUGGCCUGAGAGGAUGAUCAGCCACACUGGAACUGAUACACGGCCCGUACGCAUACGGAGGCAGCAGUGGGGAAGAGUGCACAAUGAGCGCAAGCCGGAUGCAGCCAUGCAGCGUGUAUGAAGAAGGCCCUAGGGUUGUAAAGUACUUUCAGUCGGGAGGCGUUACCGACAGAAGAAGCACCGGCUAACUCCGUGCCAGCCGCCGCGGUAAUAC
RNAcentral lists this ribosomal RNA (403 nucleotides) under uncultured bacterium. Its description in RNAcentral is "partial 16S ribosomal RNA". It matches the Rfam family "Bacterial small subunit ribosomal RNA", at positions 30 to 526 of the family's 1533-position model. The record is from RNAcentral.